This 274-nucleotide ribosomal RNA is filed under the name uncultured bacterium. Its description in RNAcentral is "partial 16S ribosomal RNA". It matches the Rfam family "Bacterial small subunit ribosomal RNA", at positions 523 to 796 of the family's 1533-position model. The record is from RNAcentral.
CUACGGAGGGUGCGAGCGUUAAUCGGAAUUACUGGGCGUAAAGCGCGCGUAGGCGGUUUGUUCAGUCGGAUGUGAAAUCCCCGGGCUCAACCUGGGACCUGCAUCCGAUACUGGCAGGCUAGAGUCUGGUAGAGGGGGGUAGAAUUCCUGGUGUAGCGGUGAAAUGCGUAGAUAUCAGGAGGAAUACCAGUGGCGAAGGCGGCCCCCUGGACUGAGACUGACGCUGAGGUGCGAAAGCGUGGGGAGCAAACAGGAUUAGAAACCCCAGUAGUCC